This is a long non-coding RNA of Eptesicus fuscus (big brown bat), 838 nucleotides long. RefSeq lists it as uncharacterized. The transcript has 2 exons. Lineage: Eukaryota; Metazoa; Chordata; Mammalia; Chiroptera; Vespertilionidae. The record is from RefSeq and is a predicted model, not a curated record.
UGUCAACCGGAUCUGAGAACCUCUGACUGAUCUACAGGGCAGGGAAUAUAAAAUUCUGGAUCCUCUCCUAAUCACCUGGAAAGAGUGUCUCCAUACUGAAUGUGAUGAUUUCCUUCAUUUUACAGAUGAGGAACAUCAGACCUGGAGGGGGUAAAUAAUCUACUUGGGGUCACACAGCUAGCAAGUGACACAAUAGGAUUCUGUGACAGAGACUCUUAGUUGCCUACCCAGUAUUCAUUCCCUUCGUCUUCCUGAGUCCAUGGAACCCUGUAUUGCUGACUGUAGCAGUUUUCCAACCUACAAAACUACUUCUACCAGCCUGCUAAGGAGAUACAAGUAAAACUUAUUGGGUGGGGUUUCUAGGAAAGCUCUUUAAAGAGGACUCAACUGCACAGAAUAUCCUUUUGCCUUUAUCAUAUUCCUCCCCCCUUGUACCAGGGACAAGGAUGUGUAACUCACAGCAGCCAUUAUGGGCCACGAGGUUAUCUUGAGAAUGGAAUCCAUGCACUGAGAAUAAUGGAGCAGAAAAGUAGAUGGAAUCUCAGUUCCCAACAAUAGAGUCAUCAUCUGAGAUUUUGAUCUCACGCCUCCUCCUUUAUCUGAGAAAAACAAAAAAACCUCUUGUCUUGUUUAAACCACUGUUACCGUAGGUCUCUAGAACUAGUCCCAGAAUACAUGACAAAAUUAUUAUCUUAACUGAUACAAUUUCCAUCUUGAUCUUCUUGUUUCUCUCUCCUUACCAUAAGGCUAUAAUUCAUUUUGUUAACAUGAGGUUCCCUUAGGAUACCUAGAUUCUUGUUAUUUUGUAUUUUAUUAUAAUAUGACCUUGGACAAAUCA